UCAGUAACAGCUCUUUGUCGUUAAACCUCUAAAUCAUUUCUGUGUGGAAUCUGUCGGUUGCAUUUACUUAAAUGGCAAACACAAGAUAGACACAGGGGGCAAUAUCUUCUUAACUGCCACUAAAAGGCAAAUACAAAUUAUUUGGUAGCAGGUUCUUUUUUGUGUACAGACAAAUUCAAACAUGUCGGUGCAUAUGUGACAACGAAGACAAACAAAAGGGGACUCCGCUGCUGUAGAGCCAGUUGUUGUUGUCUGCUACUGUUGCUCGGGCAAUUGGCUGGUUAACAGCGGCAGCUCUGCGGGCCAAUCAGAGCGCAGCAGCAGAGAAGCUGUCUGCUAUUAGAGGCACGGCUCAGGAGUCCUUCAACACAGAGCAGAGAGAGGGGGCCGAGCGCUCUCGGCAGCCAUUUUCCUGAAACAGGACUCAAUGGCCUAUAUGGGUUUCCUUUGUUCCAAAAGGGAUCUUACACUUGAUUUCCUCAUCUCUCACGGACUAUGAUAAAACUAUGAUUCCUCCUUUUAAAGGAUUGAGAAGAAGGAAGAGAAUGUACUGGAUGUAAUACCCUGUGACAUCUUGAGCCUUUUUUCCUCUGCCUGGAAUCCAUCUUUGUCUUAACUAGGUCAUGGCACACCCAUAUAAUAGUAUUUAUAUUUCUUAAGUGAAAAGAAACCAAAUGUUGUAAAUAAACAGCUGUAUGACUUUUUAAGAUGUUAUAUUAGGGGAAAAACACAGUUGAAGUGUCAGUGUACUGGCUGAUGGUUGACACUGCAUUUAUGGCCUUGUAGGAUAAAGGUAGCAAUGAGUAAGUUCAACUCUUAUAACAAUUUAAACAGUUUUGUUAAUUUAAAAAUGUGAGGCAUGCAAUAACUGUUAGCUAUUAAAAUGUUUUUUUUUGUCAAUGUAUAUUUUGAGCUAUCAUCAUUUUGAUCACAGAAAUGUUAGCAUUUGUAAAUGACAACUUUAUUUAACAUGUUCACUGGCAUGCUGACAUAUAGAUAUACAGCCUACAGUACAGGUUAUAUAGGUUGUGUCACAGCUCCUCAGACUAAAGAAAGCAGGCCAUGGAUAACUAAUGGCCUUUUGCAUAAUAGUUUAUUGUGCUGCCAGCAAUAUUGACUGUUGCUUGAUAACUCAUUUGCUUUGAUUAAUGACUUUAAACACUUUCCUCUCACAACAGCAACGCUAAACACCCUGGUGACUUGUGAGUUGUACCCUUCCUGCAACUGUGGAGACAACGUCAAGCACGAUUAGGUUUGUGCUGUCCAUUUGCCAUUUAAGAACCAAAUGCGUCCAAAGUGUAAUCGUCGGCUUGACCUUGCUUCAAGGGCAUAUUUAAAUGUCGUAAGAAGCCCACUCACGUAGCUUUUUACAGUUUCUACAACGUUAAAAAAAAAAAGUUAAAAAAAAAAUAAUUGUCAAACUUAAGAGGAAACAGAUGGAGGGAAAACUCUUAUGGUGAAAAUAUUUACCUCAGCACUUUGGUGAAAUGCAGUUAACAGGCCUAAACGCAGGGGCAGGAGGAAUGUUUUCAGCUCCAUCUUCGGAUCCUCUAAUAAUGGCAUUAAUAAGGGGUGGGAUAGCGUGUCCUGAAAAGGAAGGAAUCCAUUAGCACGAAAGAUAGAGAGCUCUUUUGAAAACUUUUUGAUCAGUGGUAGGCAUUGCCUCUCAGCCAGCGAAUAUGCAUCUUCAAGCAUCAUCUGUGUGGGCAAUAUGCAAACCAUCUCCUCUCUCUCCUUGAAGACAGGAUUGCAGUCAAGUAUAACCUCUUCUAUUUCGACAUUUCUAACUGAGCUACAUGACAUAAAACCACAAGGAAAUGUUGUUUUGAAAAGGUAAUGAAUUUUGAGCUAUUUCACUUAAUAUACCAGUUUAUAUGUAUACAUGUAAGUGUUAUAAAUAUAGGACAGACAAUAUGAACAUUUAAUAAUUGUGGUUAAAACGUUAUCAGCAAACUAUAUUGACUUGUUAAAAAAUAUAAGUGUAACAUAUUUUAUGAUUGAUAUGUAAACUUACA
Long non-coding RNA from Centropristis striata (black sea bass), 2015 nucleotides. RefSeq lists it as uncharacterized. The record is from RefSeq and is a predicted model, not a curated record. The transcript is spliced from 2 exons. Lineage: Eukaryota; Metazoa; Chordata; Actinopteri; Perciformes; Serranidae.